Long non-coding RNA from Corythoichthys intestinalis (scribbled pipefish), 1176 nucleotides. RefSeq lists it as uncharacterized. NCBI's taxonomy places the organism in Eukaryota, Metazoa, Chordata, Actinopteri, Syngnathiformes, Syngnathidae. The transcript is spliced from 3 exons. The record is from RefSeq and is a predicted model, not a curated record.
UGUAACGAGCUUCAACUUUCCCUCGCAGUGGUUUACACUUUACAGAAGGCAAGUCAACAAUUGAUGACAAUAAUCACGCUGAAUCAUUUAGAGGCUAGAAGAAGGAAACCUUGGAGCAGAAGGAUUAAACUGAGGAAUCAAGUUUUGUUGGUGGUGCCACAUAAAUGCCAAAUGUGCUGCAGGAUUUUGUUGCUGCACCAGGGAGAGACUUGUAAGCCUAUUUGGGUUUCAAAAAGUUCCCGUUCACCCCGAGAUUGGCCAAAACAAGUCAGACAACGAUGGGACUAUUGGACUCACGAGGAAGUCCUCUUCGUGUGCCCGCCAGGACAGCUUAUGAUUGUGCGGUUCUCCAUAUCGUCCAGACUUCCAGCCCCUUCUGCCCUCUUCGUGUAGCCAGCAAUAGACCACUAUCUUCGGGUUGGGCUCGAGUGUUAUGCGUUCCUCCGACCUCGGACAGUUUGUCAGGGGGUCAUUCUCCACCUGCUUCCCCAGCAAACGAGCUCUCUGGUUUGUUUACGCUCUCCAAAGCCGGGGAAGGGAAAUGACAAAAGUCAGACUAACUCCAGUGGCAUAAAAUAUCGUUCCGGAGAUGUAAGAAGUCGAUAGUUUUGACCAUUAUGGAGUAAUUUUGCCAUGUCGUACUGAAUAAAUACAUUUUGAAUAUUUCAUAUUCCAUUUAGCACAAUUUGUCAUGCCCAUACCAUUUAUUUAGCAAUUGGGGAAAAUACUUAGAUAAAAAGAAUAUCCUGUAAAAAUAUUGGAGUAGACAGACUGAAACAAUGACAUUUUGCUGAUCUCUUCGUCGCAUUUUCCUCAUUCUGAAUAAUUCCCCCUCGAUGGGCUGAAUUCUAAAUCAGAUGAAAUCGUGACCCUGCCGACGUCAUCAUCCAGUUGGGGACGCUAAAACGCUAUAAUAACAGGCAGGGCUAAACGGCAGAUUAAAAGACUAAUUUCUCGUCAUCUGCGCUUUGCCAAAUUGUUGUAUAUAGUCAAAUCGUCUCAAAAUAUGAUUCUAAUUCACAUAAUAAUGCUAUUUAAGAUUUUUUUAAUGCUGUCACAGGCACUUUAAGUCCGGUAUGUGGUACAGUCCAGAGCUAAGCGGCAGCCGCUACAAACCACGCCUCCUACAAACUACGGAUUUCAUAGAUAUCACAUGUACCAGUAUAUAGAACUAGA